CACAAGGGGGAGACAGGCAUUUGUGAGCUCUGGUUGGUGAUGUACUUUGACAUUGGUGCUACUUCCUCAUUCUGAGCGAAGCUGUCCACGAACCAGUCUCAUCAUUUGUAAUGUUUUGCAGGAUACUGUUAUCUGUUGACGUGGUCCUAAUUCGGGACCUGUUACACUACCAACUCCCACCUGACACUAUAGAAACAUAUACACAUUUCUCGGGAGCAGCAAAUGCAGGGUCAACCACAGUGCAACGCUCCAGGAGAGGUUGAGGGGUUAAGUGCCUCGAUCAAGGACACAACAUUAGGGAAUUGUAGCUGUGACCUGAAACCAGCAGUCUUCCAGUUGUCAGUUUAGUUCCAGAUUUUCAUCACCAGAACCGAGACUUGAAUCAAUGACUUUCUGAGCUACGUAUUGUUUCCUUGUAUCAGGCUUUACAAUCAGAUAAGUGAAGUAAUAUGUAAUUGCAAUGGAUUUAAUGGAAUAUGGAUUCAUUUGCUGAUAUGAUCAUACUGUCAAUGAGAGUAAUGGACUCUCUUGCUUGGAUAAAAAUAAAAUAAACAAUAACAAAUGCAAAAGUU
Molecule: long non-coding RNA, 572 nt
Organism: Oncorhynchus kisutch (coho salmon)
Lineage: Eukaryota; Metazoa; Chordata; Actinopteri; Salmoniformes; Salmonidae
Exons: 2
Source: RefSeq, a predicted model, not a curated record